This is a long non-coding RNA of Malaya genurostris, 3343 nucleotides long. RefSeq lists it as uncharacterized. The transcript has 3 exons. The record is from RefSeq and is a predicted model, not a curated record. Lineage: Eukaryota; Metazoa; Arthropoda; Insecta; Diptera; Culicidae.
UGUCGAGUUGUAAAAAAUCGCAACUAGCAACACGGAUAAUGGCAUUGAACGCACUCAUUUAUGAACGUCACUUUGAGAGUGACAAUAAACAAUCAUUAUAAUUUCAAAUUUUUCAACGAAUACUGGCGUUCGGAGACCAUUUAUUGCAAGACUUCAAUUAACGAUUGAAUUGUAGAAGAGAAAAGCAAUAUUAUUGAUCUUACUCCUAAUAGGAACAUUCAAUAUGACAAUUUGAUUGUCAAACGAUAUUAUUUCGAUCAUAUGUGAACACUCCCACGUGAUAUGCAUAUCAUCUCGGUAUAUCAAGUGAUAUAAGCGCUAAUGUGAACAUGGUAUAAGGAUAAGAAUUCUAUGUAAAAGUGAUGCUACGGCGAAGAACAACUUAUGUAAAUUGCCUUAAGAAAUAAGCGUAUUUAUGGUAAAACAAUUCUAAGAAAUCGAUUCCAACCUUCAUCAGUGGCCACUUUUGUUUGACACCAAUAUAAAAAAAGAAAAAAUUAAAUUCACUGCUGUUUCAACUCGCUAUGUAUUUAGUGAAAUGUACAGAGCUGGCAAAAAGAAAACCGCGUUGUACGAGACCCAACAGUGCAAAACGAUUUGACCAUUUCAUGAAACACUAUCGAAUCAUCGAAUUAUAUACAGUCACUCGCUCUAGUUCUUGACUGCCGUAACCGAACUGCAUAUGUGCACUCAAAAAACUAAUCACAUUAGAUUUAUGUGAAAACAUACUUGAUAAUUUUCCAUCUAACUUUUCACAUAAUUUCCAUGGGGCAUCCUUGUUAAAUACAGUUAGGUGUACAUAGCUGAAAAUCAUAUUUUCGUCCAAUGAAUUCAACGUAACAUUCAAAUAAUUUCUAUCAAAAUUUCACGUAACUUUGAUAUGAAAAAAAAUUUAAACAAGGUUAUAAUGUUACAUAAUUUUUCUACAGGUUUAAAUGAAUUGCAUAUUCAUAGAACGAGGUGGACAAAAUAUAAAGAAUUCUUGUUAUCUUAGGUAUUCAUUGAUUUCAGUUUAAUGAACGUGCUUUAAACAACAAAUAUCAAUCAAUAAAUGCCAUUAUUACAAUUACUUGCUUAAAAUCGUUCGUCAUAGUCAUUUCUUUGUCUACCUAUUAACACAAAAAUUCUGUAUAUUUAAUGAUGUGUGUUGUUACCCCACACUGAGAAAAAUACUAUAGUAGCCGUAACCUGUUUGCCAUGGUCAUUUCAACUAUAUGCUUAAAUAGUAACAACGACCAUGAUAUGAGAUUAUUCACUAUCUGUAUUGUAUAAAGUACUAGAUAACAAAGACUAUAACUUAAGAAGAUUAUUUGUAUUUAUGACUUUUCUGGUAUGGUUAUUCUAACAAUGGUUGUCAUCUCAAAACUAAGAACAAAUGGAUAAAAUAACCAUCACAAGGAUGGUGAAAUCGCUCAUGAUAAAUUUGAGAAGCGAAGUAGUUAUUGCUACCAUAUCGGUAUGUUCUUCUUUACAAUGUACAAAUGUUACCAUGCGUACAUAUAUAGUUGGCUGAAAGAUUGUGAAGUUUGAAAACACUAUUCAUAUUGUUCAUAUGAACAGAAACCAUGUGAUAACUACAUGAUCGUAUAGUGUUUUUCAACCGACUAUGUAUUUUAGUUAAGCUGACUAUACAAAUUGUCAAUAAAAGCAUCUAUUUUUUUAUUGGGCAUUAGAAAGAUUCAGUAUGGCUGAAAAUUUCGUACGUGUAUAUAACAUAACUGGAGUGAUGGAUGCAAAGUUUUUGUAUUUUGUGAUUGUGCAUAUUUUUUCAUUUACAUUGGUCUUGAAGUCAAGUCGAAUGUAAACUUAGUGAAUUAUAGGUCACGGGGAACAACAUACGCUUUUUAAGACGGCAGAAGUAGCAAGAUAUCUCAGUGCGCUGCUCAUUCUUGUUUCGGGAAAUACUUCACCGGAUAGUGAUCCAGAUUCCUGGAUCAGCAACUGCAACCAAUAAUGCUUCUACGUCAAUCAUCAACCAUUCAACAGACAACAGCGUAAUGAGUGAUGCAGCAUUGAACUAAUGUCACCACAUGAGCUGAAGUGAUAGUUUCCAGUUCCAGACGGUUUAUGUCGACCAGCGGACGUGUAAACGCACCGUUUCAGACUACGACUCGAUGCACCUGCCAACGCAGCAUGAGGAUUCCUUCCUAAUGUGGACCCUGAGCCAAAUAUCGCCAUUCUAUCCAGCUUGCCAUUCUACGCCAGCUUGCUAUCUGAACUGGGAAAACGUUAGCAGCGGAAUCAGUAGCGGUGCGGUGGCGGUACGACGGUCCGUUCCGAUCCACACCUCAACAUAAUUACUACGAUGCUCGAUGUCACUCCGUUGCGUCCACGUAACACGUUACUCCAACAUGGGCAAUAUUAUAAUAUUUGAAUCGAAAAUAAAACAGAUCAUUAACAAAUUUCCUAUUUUUCUAGAACUUAGUAGGAAUUUAAAUUCAGUUAAUUUUUAAACAUUUGCGCAUAUUUUCUGACAUUCAAUAUUGUCGAAUCAACCAUUAUUUUGGGUUUCGAAAUAAACAGAAGUGAAAAUUCAAAAAUACUAUGGCUCUGGUUAUAACUAAAAGAAUAAUUGCAAUCGUGGUUACGCUAACCAUCAUAUUCGUAAUAGUUAUUUAGACAAUAUACUGUUCAAUAUUACUGCUCAAGAGGAAAAGCCUUAUAUAGUAAAAAUGAACUUCACCAUUGUUGAAAUCACCUGAUGAAAUAGUCGGUUGAAAACCACUAUACUCGCAUGGUCAAAAUGAUCCCUGAUAUAGUAACUAGUACCAUAACAUUUUUCUGAGUGCAGUGUAAAAUUUAUAGUCUGGACUGUUGACAAGUCUUUAUUUACAUAUAUUAUAGAAAAUCAUUCUUAAGCCUAAACAUUAGUUUUCUUUCUGUGAUUUUAAUUGUAACAAUAUUAAGCAUGAACGGAGUUUGAGUGAAAAAAUUAAUAUUUAAAAUGUCAAUAAUAUCGGUACUACCGCUUGUUUCGUAUGCUAAAUAAUGUUGGUUAAAGGAAUCGACAUUCCAGUUUUGUACGAUUAAGUAUAAUGUAUUCCUUAUGAAUAAUAUUUCAAGAAUCUCAUAUAAAAGCACCGUAUUGUUACAGAUCUUUGCAACAAAUUGUCCUGUUCUAUAAUAAAUACCUCUGUGAAUAAUUGAGCUAGAUAGCAUGAAAUUAUAAUCUGAAUCAAUAUUAAGAGGUUGAAUAAUUUUAUUAAAAUAAUGCCGAAAUCUUAUAUCGAACAACUUGAAAGUUUAUGCUGUUUGAAAAUGUAUUGAUUUAUAACAUCAUUCGAAAACUGCAAAUAAGAUUUUAUACACAAAGUGUAGCAAAAAUUUUUCCUCGAAGUAAUUG